This 432-nucleotide ribosomal RNA is filed under the name uncultured bacterium. RNAcentral describes it as "partial 16S ribosomal RNA". It matches the Rfam family "Bacterial small subunit ribosomal RNA", at positions 29 to 507 of the family's 1533-position model. The record is from RNAcentral.
AACGAACGCUGGCGGCAUGCCUAACACAUGCAAGUCGAACGAGACCUUCGGGUCUAGUGGCGCACGGGUGCGUAACGCGUGGGAACCUGCCCUUAGGUUCGGAAUAACUCCCCGAAAGGGGUGCUAAUACCGGAUAAUGUCUUCGGACCAAAGAUUUAUCGCCUUUGGAUGGGCCCGCGUUGGAUUAGCUAGUUGGUAGGGUAAAAGCCUACCAAGGCGACGAUCCAUAGCUGGUCUGAGAGGAUGAUCAGCCACACUGGGACUGAGACACGGCCCAGACUCCUCCGGGAGGCAGCAGGGGGGAAGAUGGGACAAGGGGCGAAAGCCUGAUCAAGCAAGGCCGCGUGAGUGAUGAAGGCCUUAGGGUUGUAAAGCUCUUUACCCGGGAUGAUAAUGACAGUACCGGGAGAAUAAGCGCCGGCUAACUCCGUG